Long non-coding RNA from Myotis brandtii (Brandt's bat), 240 nucleotides. RefSeq lists it as uncharacterized. The record is from RefSeq and is a predicted model, not a curated record. The transcript is spliced from 2 exons. NCBI's taxonomy places the organism in Eukaryota, Metazoa, Chordata, Mammalia, Chiroptera, Vespertilionidae.
UUCUUUCUCCUUAGCUAAUCCUGCGUUGUGUUGGUCGCUCAAAAGCAUUCUUCAGGGAAGGUGUUUGGAGAUAGAAUGUAAAUUUGUCGCUGUAAACUGCAUAUGGGACUGUGAUGGAGAGUCAGAAUUCACAAAUUCUGGGAGUUCUCCAGGCGUUAACUAGAAAAUUUAGAGAAUACUGAAAAGCAUGGAGAAGAUAAUCAUCACCUGUAAUAUACAAACAGAAAAAAGUACUAAACA